RNAcentral lists this long non-coding RNA (203 nucleotides) under Gossypium barbadense (sea-island cotton). Its description in RNAcentral is "long non-coding RNA (GBAR_LNC016428)". Lineage: Eukaryota; Viridiplantae; Streptophyta; Magnoliopsida; Malvales; Malvaceae. The record is from RNAcentral.
CUAUAGUGGUAAGGUAAGCGAGAUCAUAAAAUAUAGGAGAUAAAACAAAUUCAAGACAUUGCACUCUCAAGGUGAAAAUGUAGGUUCAAACCUUGGAGGCGACAUUGUUGGGAGGACAGCCACAAACCCGAACAUGAACCAUGAAACGAACAUGAGGAAUACAAAAAAUGAUCCACUGUAUUUUUCUUAUAAUUGGACCAUUC